CCCUCGAAAGCGAGAAUCGAUUUCAUUUCGCCAGCGGAAGUUUCGAUAUCAAAGUGAGUCUGGCAAGUGGAAUAUCAUAGAAUAUCUCGGCCAUCGUGGAAUAACUUUGCACUUUCGUUACACGCCUUUUCUCUUAUCGACCAGGCAUAAAUCCUCAGCGGGACAAUAAUAGGGGAACGGGGCCGAGGACCACGCGUCACCCUUCCAGAGAAACCCUCUAAACAGAUUCGUAUCUGACUGUAAAAACGCAAACAGUCGUUUCUCAUCGAGGAAACGUAUCCCCCUCAUCGUGUAUAUUUCAACCGACCGAAUCGAACCAGGAUCGAAUCUUCUUCUAUCCACGUUCGAAUCU
Long non-coding RNA from Apis florea (little honeybee), 352 nucleotides. NCBI's taxonomy places the organism in Eukaryota, Metazoa, Arthropoda, Insecta, Hymenoptera, Apidae. The record is from RefSeq and is a predicted model, not a curated record.